RNAcentral lists this signal recognition particle RNA (265 nucleotides) under Alkalihalobacillus sp. MEB130. RNAcentral describes it as "signal recognition particle sRNA large type". It matches the Rfam family "Bacterial large signal recognition particle RNA". Rfam says of the family: The signal recognition particle (SRP) is a universally conserved ribonucleoprotein involved in the co-translational targeting of proteins to membranes. Lineage: Bacteria; Bacillati; Bacillota; Bacilli; Caryophanales; Bacillaceae. The record is from RNAcentral.
CCGUGCUAGAUGGGGAGUUGGCGGUGCCCUGUGACUCGCAAUCCGCCUUAGCGAGAUUGAAUUCCUAUCUGCGGUAUCGUUUAUGUAAGGUUUGCCUUAUGCAAGCGGUGUUGACCAUUGGGGUCCACGCAACAGAAACCUAUGAAACUGGUCAGGUCCGGAAGGAAGCAGCCAUAAAUAGAUCAUUCUGUGUGCCGUGGGUUACCCUGAUUGAGCUGGCUACAUUAGUUACACUUAUGUAACGAUAUCAAGGAUAGGUGCACGG